UAGAGAAUACCAAGGCGCUUGAGAGAACUCGGGUGAAGGAACUAGGCAAAAUGGUGCCGUAACUUCGGGAGAAGGCACGCUGAUAUGUAGGUGAAGCGACUUGCUCGUGGAGCUGAAAUCAGUCGAAGAUACCAGCUGGCUGCAACUGUUUAUUAAAAACACAGCACUGUGCAAACACGAAAGUGGACGUAUACGGUGUGACGCCUGCCCGGUGCCGGAAGGUUAAUUGAUGGGGUUAGCGGUAACGCGAAGCUCUUGAUCGAAGCCCCGGUAAACGGCGGCCGUAACUAUAACGGUCCUAAGGUAGCGAAAUUCCUUGUCGGGUAAGUUCCGACCUGCACGAAUGGCGUAAUGAUGGCCAGGCUGUCUCCACCCGAGACUCAGUGAAAUUGAACUCGCUGUGAAGAUGCAGUGUACCCGCGGCAAGACGGAAAGACCCCGUGAACCUUUACUAUAGCUUGACACUGAACAUUGAGCCUUGAUGUGUAGGAUAGGUGGGAGGCUUUGAAGUGUGGACGCCAGUCUGCAUGGAGCCGACCUUGAAAUACCACCCUUUAAUGUUUGAUGUUCUAACGUUGGCCCGUAAUCCGGGUUGCGGACAGUGUCUGGUGGGUAGUUUGACUGGGGCGGUCUCCUCCUAAAGAGUAACGGAGGAGCACGAAGGUUGGCUAAUCCUGGUCGGACAUCAGGAGGUUAGUGCAAUGGCAUAAGCCAGCUUGACUGCGAGCGUGACGGCGCGAGCAGGUGCGAAAGCAGGUCAUAGUGAUCCGGUGGUUCUGAAUGGAAGGGCCAUCGCUCAACGGAUAAAAGGUACUCCGGGGAUAACAGGCUGAUACCGCCCAAGAGUUCAUAUCGACGGCGGUGUUUGGCACCUCGAUGUCGGCUCAUCACAUCCUGGGGCUGAAGUAGGUCCCAAGGGUAUGGCUGUUCGCCAUUUAAAGUGGUACGCGAGCUGGGUUUAGAACGUCGUGAGACAGUUCGGUCCCUAUCUGCCGUGGGCGCUGGAGAACUGAGGGGGGCUGCUCCUAGUACGAGAGGACCGGAGUGGACGCAUCACUGGUGUUCGGGUUGUCAUGCCAAUGGCACUGCCCGGUAGCUAAAUGCGGAAGAGAUAAGUGCUGAAAGCAUCUAAGCACGAAACUUGCCCCGAGAUGAGUUCUCCCUGACUCCUUGAGGGUCCUGAAGGAACGUUGAAGACGACGACGUUGAUAGGCCGGGUGUGUAAGCGCAGCGAUGCGUUGAGCUAACCGGUACUAAUGAACCGUGAGGCUUAACCUU
This 1278-nucleotide ribosomal RNA is filed under the name Escherichia coli. RNAcentral describes it as "partial 23S ribosomal RNA". It matches the Rfam family "Bacterial large subunit ribosomal RNA", at positions 1672 to 2925 of the family's 2925-position model. Lineage: Bacteria; Pseudomonadati; Pseudomonadota; Gammaproteobacteria; Enterobacterales; Enterobacteriaceae. The record is from RNAcentral.